RNAcentral lists this long non-coding RNA (294 nucleotides) under Gossypium raimondii (Peruvian cotton). RNAcentral describes it as "long non-coding RNA (GRAI_LNC006764)". Lineage: Eukaryota; Viridiplantae; Streptophyta; Magnoliopsida; Malvales; Malvaceae. The record is from RNAcentral.
CCCCAUCUAAAGUAGUCUGCUGCACAAUGACCUGUUGUGAUCCCUGGGCCGUACUUCCUGACCCAACUUCCAUGCUUCUACUUUCUUUCAUGUGGCUUUCUGUUGAUGGACUCCCAAGAUCAUUGCUAGCCCUUUUUAUUAACAAUCGGUGGCGUAGGCCCAUGCGGCCUUCUUACCUUUAUUAUUCCAAGCAGCUGUAUGUGAUUCCUGCAUGGUGCCAGUUGUCCCUCCCCUAGAAUUAGCAUCCUGGACGUUAUUCUCCUAAAUAUGUGCCGAGAUAUCAGCAUCCUCCCC